CCAUGCCCAGCCAUAGCUAGACUUUUUCCAGUCCCUUUCUAACUUCUAGUAUGUAGACAGGGGUCACAUGGUAUGGAACUUGCCCUGCUGAAAGCCAAUAAAAGCAAGCAACCCUUCUGAUUCCUUAUAAAUAAAGGGUCAGACUCUCCUUUCCAGGGAGUGGCUCAAAGCUCCAAUUCUUCUAAUCUCAGGGACACCAAGUGGCAUUGAAAGCACUUUUUCUUCAGGACCCUAUCAUGCUACCCAUGAUGACUAUCUCCACUAAUGAAGCUGUUCCUGAGACCUGAAGACCUGCUCUCCCACUCCAGGCCAGGAUGCUAUAACUCUACCGAUAAAACUCAUAUGUAGGGUGUGGACAUGCUACACUCUUAACCUCCCACCACCAUGGACCAAGCUGUGCCAGCCAUCAUGCCUUCCAUGCCAUGAUGGAACCAUGAGCCAAAAAUAAAGGUCUUCUUUAAGUUGCUUCCAUCAA
Cricetulus griseus (Chinese hamster) is the source of this 475-nucleotide non-coding RNA. The record is from RefSeq and is a predicted model, not a curated record. NCBI's taxonomy places the organism in Eukaryota, Metazoa, Chordata, Mammalia, Rodentia, Cricetidae.